This 495-nucleotide ribosomal RNA is filed under the name uncultured bacterium. RNAcentral describes it as "partial 16S ribosomal RNA". It matches the Rfam family "Bacterial small subunit ribosomal RNA", at positions 28 to 507 of the family's 1533-position model. The record is from RNAcentral.
GACGAACGCUGGCGGCGUGCCUAAUACAUGCAAGUAGAACGCUGAAGGAGGAGCUUGCUCUUCUGGAUGAGUUGCGAACGGGUGAGUAACGCGUAGGUAACCUGCCCGGUAGCGGGGGAUAACUAUUGGAAACGAUAGCUAAUACCGCAUAAUAGUUGAUGUUGCAUGAUAUUUACUUAAAAGGUGCAAUUGCACCACUACCAGAUGGUCCUUCGUUGUAUUAGCUAGUUGUUGGGGUAACGGCUCAACAAGGCGACGACACAGAGUCGGCCUGAGAAGGGGGACGGCCCCAAUGGGACUGGGACACGGCCCAGGCUCCUACGGGAGGGAGCAGUAGGGAAACUUCGGGAAUGGGGGAAAGUCUGAACGGGCCACGCCGGGUGGGUGGAGAAGGUUUUCGGAUCGUAAAGCUCUGUUGUAAGAGAAGAAAGAGUGUGAGAGUGGAAAGUUCACACUGUGACGGUAUCUUACCAGAAAGGGACGGCUAACUACGUG